Long non-coding RNA from Diprion similis, 287 nucleotides. RefSeq lists it as uncharacterized. The transcript has 2 exons. NCBI's taxonomy places the organism in Eukaryota, Metazoa, Arthropoda, Insecta, Hymenoptera, Diprionidae. The record is from RefSeq and is a predicted model, not a curated record.
GCAAAGAUACAAGCUGUGCGAAGAGAGGAAAGAGAGAAUAUACCUGUAGUGCGUGUUGAAGUUGAGGCGGGGCCAGGCGAGGCGAGGAAGUGCGCCUCUUCUCGAAGAUGAGGAUGAGGAUGAGGAUGAGGAUGAAGAUGAAGCGGCAGAGGCAACGAGGAUGCGGGGGUUAUUCGAGCGCCAGCGUGAAAUCGAGUUAAACUUGAAAUUAGAGUUGCUUCCUUGAUAUUAUAUAAGAAUAUUUGUCUUCACUGAAUUAAUUUAAUAUAAACUUGGUAAGUCUCUGA